GUCUCCAUAGCUCAAACGGUAGAGCGGCGGGUCGUGAUGGCCUAUUGCGAUUAGGGUUCGAAUCCCCGUGGAGACGCCA
This 79-nucleotide transfer RNA is filed under the name Escherichia coli. RNAcentral's name for it is "tRNA-OTHER". It matches the Rfam family "tRNA". From Rfam's summary of the family: Transfer RNA (tRNA) molecules are approximately 80 nucleotides in length. Their secondary structure includes four short double-helical elements and three loops (D, anti-codon, and T loops). Lineage: Bacteria; Pseudomonadati; Pseudomonadota; Gammaproteobacteria; Enterobacterales; Enterobacteriaceae. RNAcentral also lists the same sequence under 6 other names. The record is from RNAcentral.